AGAGGCUGAAGUUGGUGGUCUGGGUC
Molecule: non-coding RNA, 26 nt
Filed under: Rattus norvegicus (Norway rat)
Lineage: Eukaryota; Metazoa; Chordata; Mammalia; Rodentia; Muridae
Source: RNAcentral